AUUGAACGCUGGCGGCAGGCCUAACACAUGCAAGUCGAACGGUAACAGGAAGCAGAUUGCUGCUUCGCCGACGAGUGGCGGACGGGUGAGUAAUGUCUGGGAAACUGCCUGAUGGAGGGGGAUAACUACUGGAAACGGUAGCUAAUACCGCAUAACGUCGCAAGACCAAAGAGGGGGACCUUAGGGCCUCUUGCCAUCGGAUGUGCCCAGAUGGGAUUAGCUAGUAGGUGGGGUAACGGCUCACCUAGGCGACGAUCCCUAGCUGGUCUGAGAGGAUGACCAGCCACACUGGAACUGAGACACGGUCCAGACUCCUACGGGAGGCAGCAGUGGGGAAUAUUGCACAAUGGGCGCAAGCCUGAUGCAGCCAUGCCGCGUGUAUGAAGAAGGCCUUCGGGUUGUAAAGUACUUUCAGCGGGGAGGAAGGGAGUAAAGUUAAUACCUUUGCUCAUUGACGUUACCCGCAGAAGAAGCACCGGCUAACUCCGUG
RNAcentral lists this ribosomal RNA (490 nucleotides) under uncultured bacterium. RNAcentral's name for it is "partial 16S ribosomal RNA". It matches the Rfam family "Bacterial small subunit ribosomal RNA", at positions 30 to 507 of the family's 1533-position model. The record is from RNAcentral.